UACGAGGGGAGCAAGCGUUGUUCGGAUUUACUGGGCGUAAAGGGCGCGUAGGCGGUCGUGACAAGUCACUUGUGAAAUCUCCGGGCUUAACUCGGAACGGUCAAGUGAUACUGUCGGACUAGAGUACAGAAGGGGCAACUGGAAUUCUCGGUGUAGCGGUGAAAUGCGUAGAUAUCUGGAGGAACACCGGUGGCGAAGGCGGCGUCCUGGACCAACACUGACACUGAGGAGCGAAAGCCAGGGGAGCAAACGGG
Molecule: ribosomal RNA, 254 nt
Filed under: uncultured bacterium
Lineage: Bacteria
Description: partial 16S ribosomal RNA
Rfam family: Bacterial small subunit ribosomal RNA
Source: RNAcentral